This 46-nucleotide non-coding RNA is filed under the name Schistosoma haematobium. The record is from RNAcentral. Lineage: Eukaryota; Metazoa; Platyhelminthes; Trematoda; Strigeidida; Schistosomatidae.
GCACUGCUGAGGAGUUCCACAAUAGGACGGAACGGCCGUUCAGUAC